RNAcentral lists this transfer-messenger RNA (378 nucleotides) under Puniceicoccales bacterium. It matches the Rfam family "transfer-messenger RNA". Rfam says of the family: Bacterial tmRNA, also known as 10Sa RNA or SsrA, is named for its dual tRNA and mRNA-like properties. Its role is to liberate the mRNA from a stalled ribosome. To accomplish this part of the tmRNA is used as a reading frame that ends in a translation stop signal. The record is from RNAcentral. Lineage: Bacteria; Pseudomonadati; Verrucomicrobiota; Opitutia; Puniceicoccales.
GGGGGUGACAUGGAUUCGACCAUUGAUCGUAAAAAGGUAUGGCAUGUCGAAGAUGACGGUUGGCUUCGUAAAAAUCCGUUACAAUCAUAAAUGACAAAAACAUUAUGAAACUGAACUUCAGAAAUGAAGUUGCACUAGCUGCUUAGUAAUAAAAGUGGCUCGUCCGUCGCGCGAUGCUUGGUGACGCGAACGGAUGUGUUUUACCGAGCGGGCACCAUGGAGGUGCGUAACAGACAUGGCGCCCUAUUUAUGUUACGAUAGAUAGACUUCAGCAUGCUGAUAUGCUGAAAUUUAUCGAAAACUAAAAAUCAGCUAAACAUGUAGAGGUAUGUUUUGAAAAUCAAUGGGACGCGGGUUCGACUCCCGCCACCUCCACCA